Molecule: ribosomal RNA, 496 nt
Filed under: uncultured bacterium
Lineage: Bacteria
Description: partial 16S ribosomal RNA
Rfam family: Bacterial small subunit ribosomal RNA
Source: RNAcentral
GAUGAACGCUGGCGGCGUGCCUAAUACAUGCAAGUCGAGCGAACAGACGAGGAGCUUUCUCCUCUUACGUUAGCGGCGGACGGGUGAGUAACACGUGGAUAACCGACCUAUAAGACUGGGAUAACUUCGGGAAACCGGAUCUAAUACCGGAUAAUAUAUUGAACCGCAUGGUUCAAUAGUGAAAGACGGUUUUGCUGUCACUUAUAGAUGGACCCGCGCCGAAUUAGCUAGUUGGUAAGGUAACGGCUACCAAGGCAACGAUGCGUAGCCGACCUGAGAGGGUGAUCGGCCACACUGGAACUGAGACACGGUCCAGACUCCUACGGGAGGCAGCAGUAGGGAAUCUUCCGCAAUGGGCGAAAGCCUGACGGAGCAACGCCGCGUGAGUGAUGAAGGUCUUCGGAUCGUAAAACUCUGUUAUUAGGGAAGAACAAAUGUGUAAGUAACUAUGCACGUCUUGACGGUACCUAAUCAGAAAGCCACGGCUAACUACGUG